This 551-nucleotide ribosomal RNA is filed under the name Lactobacillus delbrueckii. RNAcentral describes it as "bacterial SSU rRNA". It matches the Rfam family "Bacterial small subunit ribosomal RNA", at positions 377 to 919 of the family's 1533-position model. The record is from RNAcentral. Lineage: Bacteria; Bacillati; Bacillota; Bacilli; Lactobacillales; Lactobacillaceae.
GCAAGUCUGAUGGAGCACGCCGCGUGAGUGAAGAAGGUUUUCGGAUCGUAAAGCUCUGUUGUUGGUGAAGAAGGAUAGAGGCAGUAACUGGUCUUUAUUUGACGGUAAUCAACCAGAAAGUCACGGCUAACUACGUGCCAGCAGCCGCGGUAAUACGUAGGUGGCAAGCGUUGUCCGGAUUUAUUGGGCGUAAAGCGAGCGCAGGCGGAAUGAUAAGUCUGAUGUGAAAGCCCACGGCUCAACCGUGGAACUGCAUCGGAAACUGUCAUUCUUGAGUGCAGAAGAGGAGAGUGGAACUCCAUGUGUAGCGGUGGAAUGCGUAGAUAUAUGGAAGAACACCAGUGGCGAAGGCGGCUCUCUGGUCUGCAACUGACGCUGAGGCUCGAAAGCAUGGGUAGCGAACAGGAUUAGAUACCCUGGUAGUCCAUGCCGUAAACGAUGAGCGCUAGGUGUUGGGGACUUUCCGGUCCUCAGUGCCGCAGCAAACGCAUUAAGCGCUCCGCCUGGGGAGUACGACCGCAAGGUUGAAACUCAAGGAAAUUUGACGGGGG